UGAGAGAGAGUUCAGAGUACGUGAAACUGCUCAGAGGCAAACGGGUGGGCCCUCGAAAUCCUUCCGCGGAGGGAUUCAGUCGGACGCCGGGGAGCUGGCGGCCCGCUAACUUCGGACCGGAAAAAGGCCGGGCGCGCAGCGGUCAUCUCCGGCGUCCGACGCACUUCCUUCCGCGCCACGGACGCCGCAACCGGUCGGGUAGCAGCGAGAGUCGGCCAUGAGGGUCUGCGCCGGCAGGUGGCCGGGGGACGGAGCGGGCCGCCUCCCCGGUCGUUAGCCAGCGGACGCCGCGGCGCGACACCCGACCGAGGCCGAGGUUCCGGUCACCGGAACCAGCCGUGCCCUGACACCAGCGGGGCCCACGUCACGCGCGUCGUCCCUCGGCCGCGUCACUCUCCGAGUGGUCGGCCGGCGGCGGACCCGGUUGGACGGGGCGUGCCCGCGGACAGGCGCCCACGGUUGGCGGCGAGCAGGUCGGUCACCCACCCGACCCGUCUUGAAACACGGACCAAGGAGUCUAACAUGUGCGCGAGUCACGGGGUCUUGUUCAGGCCCAGGGGCGCAAUGAAAGUGAACUAUCCAGUCGGGACUCCCACCUCGGUUCGGACGCACCGACGGCCCGUCCGAACCGCCACGCGCGGUCGGGCGGAGUCGGAGCGCACACGUUGGGACCCGAAAGAUGGUGAACUAUGCCCGGGCAGAACGAAGCCAGAGGAAACUCUGGUGGAGGUUCGCAGCGGUUCUGACGUGCAAAUCGAUCGUCAGACCCGGGUAUA
RNAcentral lists this ribosomal RNA (776 nucleotides) under Physocyclus reddelli. RNAcentral describes it as "partial large subunit ribosomal RNA". The stretch from base 508 to 776 matches the Rfam family "Eukaryotic large subunit ribosomal RNA", at positions 665 to 919 of the family's 3401-position model. Lineage: Eukaryota; Metazoa; Arthropoda; Arachnida; Araneae; Pholcidae. The record is from RNAcentral.